UUGACAAAUUCUGACUACCUGGCAUCCCGAUGCAGAAGGAACAUUCUAGGCCCUGAAGACCUGGGUUUUGUUUUGCCUUUUCACAAGCAAUCCUUAAUACCUCAAUUUUAAAAGUGUACUGUUUUCCUGCUGGAGGGAAGCCGAGUAUUAAAACUCAUUUUAGGUGGUAGGUAUUUUAAAUAAUUGCCUAAAUUGGUGAUGUAGCUCAGAUAGUAGAGUGCUUGCCUGGCAUUCAGGAGCCCCUGGUUCAGUUUCCAUCUUCUGGGAGAUGGAGGCAGAAAGAUCAGCAGUUCAGGAUCACCCAUGCGUGGAGUACAUCUCUUAACUACUCAAGUGUCCCUGCUGGAAGUACUUUGCCUCAAUGUUGACAAAGCACACUUGUGCUUGGAAACACAGUGAUUUACCUUCCAGGAGGACCCCAACAGCCCAACUGUCAGAGAGACUGUGAUCAGUGCUGUGUAGGAGGAGCUGGGAGGAAGGAUGUCACAUUCAAUUCAGAGUCCAUUAGGACCCAGACGCUCCCCUGCAAUAAAUUCCUAAUCCAGACAGCGCAUGCAAGUAAGUACUGUCAUUUACAGGUGGUGCUACUGAUACUUAGAGGG
RNAcentral lists this long non-coding RNA (602 nucleotides) under Mus spicilegus (steppe mouse). Its description in RNAcentral is "lncRNA (ENSMSIG00000011476.1)". Lineage: Eukaryota; Metazoa; Chordata; Mammalia; Rodentia; Muridae. The record is from RNAcentral.